GCUGGAAACUGAACGGAAGUAUUCGCGCAUACAAUGGCGGCGACGUCCUGGUUCUCUAGGGGGCGCGCCGUGCGCCGUUGAACCGCAGCCACGCGUCUACCGGGCGCUCCCUGCACGUCAUUGCUUAUUCUUUGGGUACGUGCUGCGCGGUAGGCGUGCCUACACGGACAUGGCUGCACCGCACGCCUUGACGCAGGCGGGGCCGCGGCCAUGAGUCCUGUGGCAGCGGGUGCGUCGAGCGGAAGGGGCCCGCGGAUAGGCAUGCGCCUGCUCGCGAGGAGACCACGUAGCCUGCCGCUCCGAAGGGGCACCGGAGGGCAACCGCAGGCGCCCGACGGCGGAAGCCCGUGCAGCGCGAGCGAUCCGCGAAUCUCGCGUGGCAUAGCGGGCACAGCGCCGGGACGGACGCCCUCGGUAGGCAAAGCAGGGCGGGCGGAGGCUCUGGCGGGUGCGGGGUACCACAAUGCUAGCGGAGACGUGGGCAGCACACCAUCUGCGCUCCGUGUUGUCACUGCGGGUCACCCGCCGUUGCAGGAAUCCGAAGCACCAGCCGGGUGCCCGUGCGGGACUGCACGAGCACCGUCUCCUGUCGUCUUGUAAGCUGGGCAGCCGCGUCCUUCUGGUGUGGGACGACUGCCGCCAAGGAGCUGUUGUCUCAGUGUGUCGCGUCGCGAUCGCGGUUUUUUUGAUAGAUGUCGCUCUUGCGUCUGAGGCUGACAGCCAGAUCGGUAAUCUGUGCAGCUGGCUUUGGCUCUUGUGGCAUUGCUGAUUCGCCAAGGUUGUGGGUGUGCUUUAUCCAGAAUGGCUACAGGCAAACUGAAAUUUGGCGCGUGCUACCACCGCGCACGAGGGGGGAGGUGUGUACGUGAAGAGCUGUGAGUUGUGUCGAUGCCUGUACACCCGAAUGAGAGCUGCCGAAGUGCUGUGACGACACUGUGGUCCGGCCUGUGCACCUCUCGCCUCAAAUAUGCAAGGUGGCGACCUGGGGUGACUGCAGAAUGACACAAGCGGGCGCGGCGCAACUGCUUGUAUGGGGUCGAGUGGACAGGAGAUCGGCCUCUUCGAGUAGAGCUCGAUUGUCUGCGUUUUUGGGGGUGGCCACUGCGACGGCUGCUACUCUGGCGUGAAGGUCCACACAGGCUUCCUGCAGUUUCCAACCAGCACUCUCCGACCACGCGGCGGCACCGUGGAGCAACGCUGUCUCCAGCCGUGCCAUGGAGUAGCGGAGGAGAUCCGUGGACGGGUCGCAUUCGUGCGGGCACACUGCCCUCAGCAUGGCACGCCGGGUUUUACCCACUUUGACAACCGCUGCAGCCUGUGGGCCAAUGCGGCGCGUGGGCUGGGUGUCCACGCGAAGGCGGGGUUGGCGAUGCUCUUCUAGGUGCGUGCUUGCAGCAGAGAGCUGCUGCUGCUUGCAGUGCGGCGCACCGGCGAGUUUGCGCCUACUGUUGGGGUCGCUCAGCUGUAAGAACUUUUCCACCCCUCAGAGGGCGAAUCGCAGUGUGGUGUGAUGAGCACAGAAGGCGUGGUGCCGUGCCGGCAUCCGGUUGCGCUGCACGAUCGGGGGUCCACCACCCUGAUGAGGCGAAGAGGGUCCAGGAGGGAUGGUUGUGUGACUGGGCAUGCAAGCCUUGCAAUCUUCGACUUGUUCUUGUGGGCGCGAACACAGAGGGCGGGGCGAUGGUCUGGGAGAGCCAUGAUGCGGCGAGUGUGGUGCGGGCCGCGUUUGGGCCUCUGAGGGGCCGUGAUGUUCGCAGCCGCGUGUGCCGGUGUAGGGCCGACAAAUGCCGCGGCGGUCUUGGUACCUUGCUGGCGCGGCACUGGCUUGUUGGGGGAGCAAGCCAAAGGGGUCUACAGCGGAGCAGGGUGAGGAUGGAGGUCGUACGGGUGCUGCUGGAGCGUGUAUCGCAGAACGGUCGCGCAGUCGUCGCGAGGCGAUUCGCUGAAGGGGCUUUUUCGCCGGGCGCUGGUCAGCGCCACAGGGCGGGGCGGAGUGAGGGCGCAGCAGGAUUGCAUCCAUCCCUCGAGGCUGGCUCUUUGAUAAGCAUGCCCGAGAGAGGGCGGCGUGCAGGGUACCCUCUAGAGAGCCGCGUCAGUUUUGGCGUCCAGAACGGUUUGCAAGCGGCUUUAACACAUGGAGCAGCUUUCCAGUUGGUCUUGACCACAAACCUCGUUAUGAAUUUCACCUCAUGUAUGAGAGAGACUUCAUGGUUGAGUAUGUUGUGGCUUUGACUGCAUGGACGAUCCGCCUUUCCUCCCCUGGUGUGCUUUAGGGUUGCCGCGCACUCUGCGAUCCCCGCUUCCUCGCGACUGUGGCUGGCAGGGCCUUUGCGGGCCGAUUUUUCAGCCGGGGCAUCAGCCCAGGCGCCCCGCCAUAACCCCCUUUUUACCCCAACAUCGCCUCGCCGGCUUUCGCGCGAUGGCCGGCGCGGGGCUGCCGGGCGCCCCCGUGGCCCCCAAAGCCCUCCUCCCGAGGGGGGCACCCGCCCAAAAGCCCCGCGCGGCGAAGCGCCCGCCCGGGAAAGGCGGGGCCGGGGGCCGCGCCCGGCGACAGGCCCACACACCCCAAAACGCGACCCGAAAGGGCGCGCCGGGGCCACCGAAGCAAAGCCCCACACCCGGGAACGGGGGGCUUGGGGCCGAAGCCUACGCGCACACCCCCUCGCCCACAACGACGCCGCCGCCGCGCCUCCUUUCCCUAUGCAAAGACGCCGAAAACCAAAGAACAAGCGCCUCACAGACCCGUUGGGGUGCAAUGCGCCUUUUUCUGAGCACAGACUUGCGCGAGCAUUCGCUAAGGAGCCGGGCUGAGCACCGCCCGGCGUCGUUCAGCCCACUCCGAUUCCAGAGCACACACCCCGCCCCCUUGGCCCCGCGCCACGCCCAACACCGCCGCAACGCAGCAAAAGCAGAAACACAGCAGGUGGGAUGCGCCUACUCGUUUGAUCGCCGACACGAUUCGUGGUGAGCUGGUGCAAACGCGCUCAUGACUGCAGGCCUCCUCCGCGCAGCGCCAGCCCAGGCCUGUCCGCCGACAUCGAGAGUCCGCAGCCGUACAACCCGCUGAACAAGUGCGCCUAAAAGAGGGAAAUCCUUUGAACUAUGCUUUCCGAAGUCAAAAUCAUCGUUGUCGUUUAGUAAGAGACUUGCGGAAGUCAAGUGCUGCCUUGCUGUGGAGCCUUGGCGAUGUCUUCUGUUCACAUGGCGCCUUCUGACGAUUGAACAAAAUCUCGUGAGACAAGCUGCGGGCGCCCCCCCCCACCUGUGCGGGUCCCCGCGGCGAAGGCGGCGGUGAGGGUGUGGCCGAUCCCCGCUCGAGGACGAGAUUUCAAAGCCCAAAUCGAGACAACAACCCGCCCUUCCAACCGCCACGGAAGCGCACCAGGCCCCGCCCUUUCCCCCAGAGAAGCUCUGCGGGACAGAUCACCAACUAUCCCCAGAAGUAAAUUCACAGGGAGUUGCACACCAGAUAGCCAAGGGCUUCAUCCUAGGUGGACGGCAUCUUCGAGUGUGCGCCUCCGUUUUUCCUGCGCAAAUUGGAAAUAAUCACGAACAGCCACUGAGUUUGCCGAACCAAGCGAUGUACCGACAAAUUUUCCGUGUUACUAGAGCUUGGGCUGUCAAGCCAAAUACGUGUUACCUCUAGGCGGUAUGUUUCUUAGAGGCUGAGCUUUUCUUUCCUCCUGUGUUUCGUCAGUAUUUUCCGUGCAUGUUCACGAGUGCGCAAUGUAUGUAGCACACGUGAAGGUUCCGUCCUGACCACUUUGCUUCCCGAAAAUUGUAUAUCGAACUGACCAGUAGUCAGCGAGGAGCGCAGCGUCUUGCUUCAUUGGCGUGUAAAGACAGUUUUGCGCUUCGCUCGAAGCUUCAUCGCCUGAUUUUUACGCCUGUACAUUGUAAAAAGUAAGUGCAGCAGCCGUGCAGAUAUUCUCGACCCUCGCUCGUAGGACAUGCGAGCUGUAUAUGUGUGCUCAGAUUUGCACAGCGGAAAAUUUACAGGACUGUCUUGACUCUAUGCGCCUUCCCAUGUGAUAGAAAUGCUGCUAUACAAGCUUCCGAGCAAGUUGCACCCCAAUAAGGUUACGAGCACGCCAGAAAUGCGCUUUUCAGCGCACAGUGGGAAUAUUUGGUGUAGCUCGCCGCUUUUAUUGCAGUGAGACCAAACUUUCGAAUGCGCUACAAUCGCAUCAACACAAGCUCCAUAGCUAUGCGUUCCUAUCGCUCGGUUAUGCAUUAGGGCUGGCAACUUCUUGACACUGCUUUCGUAGUAUUCGGAUGAAGCGACGCAGUGUACUGCCUCCAUGCGCUGUUUUUGCCACGAGUUGCAUAUUUUUCCUUGUCUUCCUCGUAAGUCGAAGUGUAUUCGGCAUUUUGUUUUUCGCCUUUUCGCCUUGUGUUCUGGUAUAAGUUUUCUGGGCGUAUUCAAGCUCUAUUCGCACCUCUGAAGUGAGGUGGGAAAGGUAGGGAUGACUACCUCCUAUAGCUCUAAACCAGUUAGUAGUGAGAAAUAUGUUGCAUGGGUUGAUGAUUGUGUUACGUCCUCAAUGUUAAGUUGGCUGACGGAAAGUACGUCUGGCUCGUGUCACUGAAGUCAUCAGAGUCUGCCAUUGUCUGGCAAAUCCCAACAAGAAGGAAAAACACGCUGGCCUCUGCCUCGCAACACAUUUUUUUCCUUCUGUCUGUUGUCAGCAACCUUGGCUCUCUAUUCACAAAAUUAAGCAACACUUCCGUCAUUAUAUUUUCUUUUGAUCGCUGGCUCCGCUGUUUUAUACUUGAAAUCCAGCAUUUUUUCAGUGUGCUAAUGACUGAGUCUCCAGAUUACUAGCGUAGCGCCCAGAAAACGUGCUUUUGUACCCUUUUUGUGGAAAAGACGUCGUUUGAAAUGUUUUCUGUUCUUUUUGCCGAAAAGUGCCGGGCACUCCGAAAGGAGCAGCACUUCCUUUUCUAAUCCAUGCGUGCGAGUGUGGGGACUGUGCGGGGUCAAUGAACACCAAGAAGAAAAUCUCGUCUACAGCGCAGCGUCAGAAAGGAGUUGGGUGGCAUUUGCUUCUCCACGCGAUCGCACUCCCAGUUAGUGUUCCGCUCGCGUUUUCCAGAUUGUACAAAAAGUUUCUUCACCGUUUUUUUUAUAUUGUUUUCACUACCGCUGGUAACUAAGAGGGUCUUUGUCGUAUAGCAGCGGCUCAUUUUUCUUUUGACCUUUGCUACGUUCACUUUUUUCUCUCCGGUCGACCGGUUCUUAUAGCGUACUCAGGGUUGAUGAAUUCGAAAUCACAGAAUAGUUUUUCGACUAGCUGCAUGAUACUGCGCUAGCACGACCUGAACAGAGCGUUUCUAAUGUAUAACGUGCCUUAUUUUUUAUUGCUGAUGAAGGGAAUGGACUAAAGAAGUGAUUCUCGUAGCGACCAUAUGUGUCUUUGAUAUGCAGCGUUGGUGGGCAUGUUCACGAAGCAGCGGGAAUGAUGUGGCUGGAUAUUCUCCAAAGAGAGCACUUAAUCUGUGCACACUUUUUCCCCUUUACUGUUAAGCGGUUAUAAAGCAUGAGCAUUAUGCAGUUUCUGCGGCAGCAUGCUUUUUUUUUCUUGCUAUUCAACUCUGUCGCAAACCGCGUAUUUUCAAUUUCCCCCCUGGAUGCAUGUUUGAGUGCUCCACACAAAGGCGUCUCUGAACUAAUGCACCUGAUGCUCACAAGUGAGACAGUUCUCUCAGGGGUCAGAACUCUUCUAGGUGCCCAUUCGACGCAAGCACGUAACUUAGCUGAGGCUCACGCGAACCAGGGGUUUUCCAUAGAUAGAAGACUCUUUACCAUAGCUGCUAGCAAACGUGGGGCAAUUUCUUGAACGGGAAAGGGAGGAACGAGCUGAAUCGCUGCUUUCACAGAUUCUGUUUCAGGCGGCAUCAUUUUUAUUUUUAUUUUGGCCUUACUCCACCUGAUUCUGCCUGGACUGAUUCACUAUAAGAGGGAUUGAUGUGGUUUCUUCGUGCAAAAUCAAUGCUUUCAUGCAUGAGCGCCUACGCAUUACGGUUGCCCCCUCAAUUUGGUUACAAAAGUAAUAACUAGUGUAACCCUGAUGACGGAGGUCGCCUCAGUACGUGGUAUCUCAGGGUCUAGUAUUCCCAUAUUGUGUGGGAAGAGGCCCGGCAGCCCCCUAUCCCUGCGAGUGCCGAAUCGCUUCUGGUGGUGAAACGGUCAAACACCCACGGGGUAAGGGAGGGUGAAAGCGAUACAUCGCUACUGAUAUCGGGGGCCGUUUCCUGGAUUGCGUCACACCGAAGCGACUUUUAACAGUGCAUAGACUUGCACCAUCCACAAGAUGAGCAGAGUGCCAGCGUGACUUGAACGCACAUAUAACUCGACCUUCAUUGCCUGCUGGUGUGGGGAGCCUGCGCCACCGCGAAGGAUGCACCAGGUGGCGAGCUUCAAGGUGCCUAUGCGCACAGUGCGUGGUAGAGGCCGUGCUGAGGUAACUGGAUCGCAUUGAUCUACCGCGUUUUUACGGCUGCCUCGCACAAGCUGAUGGGGCCUGUGAAAGGCCUGGUAGACUGGAGCUGAAGUCAUGUUCUAGGGCAGAGAAUGGGCACAAGGAAGGAGAAAGAAAACAGAGGCGAGAUGUACGUUGCAUCACAGUUUUUGGAGAAGAGAGAGGAGUGGGAGAUGCAGGCGUCAAAGGAGUUUCUCCUUUGCAUACAUACCUUUGUGUCCAUGUCUAAUGCGCUUUGGUGUCGAGACUUGAUCCGCUUCUGUUUCUGUUUUCUGAGCAUGCGCAUGUGUACAAAACCGUCGUUCAUCUUUUUUUUUUUCAUAUCUGAACGCCUUUUCGAUCCCCCACCCCUUCGUUCUUGUGUUCCUGUUCUGCAUAGAAAUGCCUUUUUGCCUGCUGUCUUGGUGUUUCACUUUACUUCUUCUCCGUAUUGUUUCAAAGCUUUGCUUCCCCGUCCACACAGCUAAGGCAGCUUCUUUUUCUGGACGGUUCUUCUUCAUCUUGUUUCACUACUUUCUCCUCCUCUGUGUUUGUGUCGGCUCGUUUUCUCGACAUACGGCGAUGCAGUUUUAUCAUCUCUUGUUUCAGUUCUCAUCUUUGAUGGGUAGCGUCUGGGCCUGUGUGUGCCAGCCUGGUCUUUUUUCGAACUAUUCUCCCAUUAUUCACUAUCUUCCUGUGCUGUUUGGCUUUGCAGUAUAUAUAUAUAUAUAUAUAUAUAUAUAUAUAUAUAUGUGUGUGUGUAUGUGUGUGUCUCUGCUCUCCUUUUCUCUGUUUCUAUUCUUUGAAACUUUGCCUGUUUUUAUCCCAGCGGAUCAGCGAGUGUAGCCGUGUGUGGGUGUGUGCCGAUCUGUGCUAGCUGAUUCGGUUGUCCGAAAUGGAAGUGACAAGCAAGAGAAACAUAGCAACUGAUUCGGUGAUCAGCGAAAGCAGAGUAGCGCCAAGAGCUGUUCUUUGAGGCGCUGGCCCUCAUGGUCAUACAAACGUGCACCUACAUGCACAUGCCGCAUGAGAGGUGCUUGGCUCAUGCGGGCGCUCGCUGAUGGCAGUAUGUGGGGAGUUGCGGGACUGCGCUGUGACGUGGAAAUGGUGCCACAGGGACCUCCUCCAAUCUCAUAACCCCUCGCUGCUGCUGCCCUUCGUACCCCGUAG
This 7631-nucleotide unclassified non-coding RNA is filed under the name Leishmania donovani. RNAcentral's name for it is "gene:unknown". Lineage: Eukaryota; Euglenozoa; Kinetoplastea; Trypanosomatida; Trypanosomatidae. The record is from RNAcentral.